This 852-nucleotide ribosomal RNA is filed under the name Tremateia thailandensis. RNAcentral's name for it is "partial large subunit ribosomal RNA". It matches the Rfam family "Eukaryotic large subunit ribosomal RNA", at positions 75 to 943 of the family's 3401-position model. Lineage: Eukaryota; Fungi; Ascomycota; Dothideomycetes; Pleosporales; Didymosphaeriaceae. The record is from RNAcentral.
UAGCCCCAGUAACGGCGAGUGAAGCGGCUACAGCUCAAAUUUGAAAUCUGGCUCCCUGUGGGGGUCCGAGUUGUAAUUUGCAGAGGAUGCUUCGGCGUUGGCGGCGGUCUAAGUUCCCUGGAACAGGACAUCGCAGAGGGUGAGAAUCCCGUACGUGGGCGCCUGCCUUUGCCGUGUGAAGCUCCUUCGACGAGUCGAGUUGUUUGGGAAUGCAGCUCUAAAUGGGAGGUAAAUUUCUUCUAAAGCUAAAUACCGGCCAGAGACCGAUAGCGCACAAGUAGAGUGAUCGAAAGAUGAAAAGUACUUUGGAAAGAGAGUCAAACAGCACGUGAAAUUGUUGAAAGGGAAGCGCUUGCCGCCAGACGUGCCCGCAGUUGCUCACCCGGAUUCCGAUCCGGGGCACUCUUCUGCGGGCAGGCCAGCAUCGGUUCGGGCGGUCGGACAAAGGCCUCUGUCAAGUACCACCCCUCGGGGUGGCCUUAUAGGGGAGGCGCAAUGCGACCAGCCCGGACCGAGGUCCGCGCAUCUGCUAGGAUGCUGGCGUAAUGGCUGCAAGCGGCCCGUCUUGAAACACGGAUCAAGGAGUCUAACAUCUGUGCGAGUGUUUGGGUGUCAAGCCCGGGCGCGCAAUGAAAGUGAACGGAGGUGGGAACCCCUCGGGGCGCACCAUCGACCGAUCCUGAUGUCUUCGGAUGGAUUUGAGUAAGAGCACAGCUGUUGGGACCCGAAAGAUGGUGAACUAUGCUUGAAUAGGGUGAAGCCAGAGGAAACUCUGGUGGAGGCUCGCAGCGGUUCUGACGUGCAAAUCGAUCGUCAAAUUUGGGCAUAGGGGCGAAAGACUAAUCGAACCAU